This is a transfer RNA of Neotoma lepida (desert woodrat), 73 nucleotides long. It matches the Rfam family "tRNA". Rfam says of the family: Transfer RNA (tRNA) molecules are approximately 80 nucleotides in length. NCBI's taxonomy places the organism in Eukaryota, Metazoa, Chordata, Mammalia, Rodentia, Cricetidae. The record is from Rfam.
GGAGAGAUGGCCCAGAGGUUAAGAGCACUGGCUACACUUCCAGAGGACCUGGGUUCAAUUCCCAGCAUCUACA